Non-coding RNA from Bemisia tabaci, 746 nucleotides. The record is from RefSeq and is a predicted model, not a curated record. Lineage: Eukaryota; Metazoa; Arthropoda; Insecta; Hemiptera; Aleyrodidae.
CCUUGUACCUAUUCCUAGCAAAUCUAUCCAAUUUAUCGGUCAGAAACACGUCUCCUCACGUAGAACCACUAUAACAAGCUCUUAGAAAGUGUGUGCUUCCUGUGAAAGUGGCAAGUUAUAGUGCGCCUUCCAUUUGUGAGUGAGCAAUUUGCACAGCAAAGAGAUUUUUCGAUCUUGCUCCUCCUCCUGACUAACAAAAGGGGGAAACCCGGUGAAAAUUCAUUGAGCUAUUGUGUUUAUUGACAUUGGUGAUUUUUGGUGAAUCUUCGGUUGACGGAUAUUAGCUCUUCAGCCUUUGACAAGCAGAGAGGAAAAAAGUAUGGCGACAAAGCAAAAUUUUGAGAAGACACGAGAAUAGAUAGAGGCGCCUCAGAUUAGAAAUCAUGUCUGCGGAGUCAAGCCCGACCGAUUGCUCAGCUCUGACAGAAAAUUCAAGGGCUCCGUUUUUUGAAGACUCACAAUGGCAGACUACUAGGCGACUUUCGAAAGCAGUGCCUUUUCUUCGCGCAAGAUCAGUGUCGCAAACGUCUGUUUAUCGUUCAGCAAGUGGAUAUUCUUUUAAAAGUUUAGGCAAGGGCACAAAAAUCUUGGACUUUCUUUCGACUUGCUUUUGGACUUGCGCACUAUGCUGCCAUCAAACUGCAUGACGUGGGUAAGGUAAAAUGGGCUGUCAAAAUUUCAAUGGAGAAGUUAUUUGCACAUAAAUUAGAAUUGAAAAUAAAUAUUUUUUGAUGAAUUUUUUAAAA